This 714-nucleotide ribosomal RNA is filed under the name uncultured bacterium. Its description in RNAcentral is "bacterial SSU rRNA". It matches the Rfam family "Bacterial small subunit ribosomal RNA", at positions 1 to 722 of the family's 1533-position model. The record is from RNAcentral.
AUUAGAGUUUGAUCCUGGCUCAGGACGAACGCUGGCGGGAGUCUAACACAUGCAAGUCGAGCGGGAUAUACCGGUUUAGUUUACUAAGCUGGUAAAUUCAGCGGCGGACGGGUGAGUAACGCGUGAGCAAUCUGCCUUGUACAGGGGGAUAACAGCCGGAAACGGCUGCUAAUACCGCAUAAGGCCACAGUACCGCAUGGUACAGGGGUCAAAGGAGAGAUCCGGUAUAAGAUGAGCUCGCGUUCCAUUAGCUGGUUGGUGAGGUAACGGCCCACCAAGGCAACGAUGGGUAGCCGGCCUGAGAGGGUGAACGGCCACAUUGGGACUGAGACACGGCCCAAACUCCUACGGGAGGCAGCAGUGGGGGAUAUUGCGCAAUGGGGGGAACCCUGACGCAGCAACGCCGCGUGAGUGAAGGAGGCCUUCGGGUCGUAAAACUCUGUGACAGGGGAAGAAGAAAGUGACGGUACCCUGAGAGGAAGCCCCGGCUAACUACGUGCCAGCAGCCGCGGUAACACGUAGGGGGCAAGCGUUGUCCGGAAUUACUGGGCGUAAAGGGUGCGUAGGCGGCCGAGCAAGUCCGAUGUGAAAGACCACGGCUAAACUGUGGGGGUGCAUAGGAAACUGUCCGGCUUGAGUGCAGGAGAGGAAAGUGGAAUUCCUAGUGUAGCGGUGAAAUGCGUAGAGAUUAGGAAGAACACCAGUGGCGAAGGC